GAUGAACGCUGGCAGCGUGCCUAAUACAUGCAAGUCGAGCGAACGGACGAGAAGCUUGCUUCUCUGAUGUUAGCGGCGGACGGGUGAGUAACACGUGGAUAACCUACCUAUAAGACUGGGAUAACUUCGGGAAACCGGAGCUAAUACCGGAUAAUAUUUUGAACCGCAUGGUUCAAAAGUGAAAGACGGUCUUGCUGUCACUUAUAGAUGGAUCCGCGCUGCAUUAGCUAGUUGGUAAGGUAACGGCUUACCAAGGCAACGAUGCAUAGCCGACCUGAGAGGGUGAUCGGCCACACUGGAACUGAGACACGGUCCAGACUCCUACGGGAGGCAGCAGUAGGGAAUCUUCCGCAAUGGGCGAAAGCCUGACGGAGCAACGCCGCGUGAGUGAUGAAGGUCUUCGGAUCGUAAAACUCUGUUAUUAGGGAAGAACAUAUGUGUAAGUAACUGUGCACAUCUUGACGGUACCUAAUCAGAAAGCCACGGCUAACUACGUGCCAGCAGCCGCGGUAAUACGUAGGUGGCAAGCGUUAUCCGGAAUUAUUGGGCGUAAAGCGCGCGUAGGCGGUUUUUUAAGUCUGAUGUGAAAGCCCACGGCUCAACCGUGGAGGGUCAUUGGAAACUGGAAAACUUGAGUGCAGAAGAGGAAAGUGGAAUUCCAUGUGUAGCGGUGAAAUGCGCAGAGAUAUGGAGGAACACCAGUGGCGAAGGCGACUUUCUGGUCUGUAACUGACGCUGAUGUGCGAAAGCGUGGGGAUCAAACAGGAUUAGAUACCCUGGUAGUCCACGCCGUAAACGAUGAGUGCUAAGUGUUAGGGGGUUUCCGCCCCUUAGUGCUGCAGCUAACGCAUUAAGCACUCCGCCUGGGGAGUACGACCGCAAGGUUGAAACUCAAAGGAAUUGACGGGGACCCGCACAAGCGGUGGAGCAUGUGGUUUAAUUCGAAGCAACGCGAAGAACCUUACCAAAUCUUGACAUCCUUUGACAACUCUAGAGAUAGAGCCUUCCCCUUCGGGGGACAAAGUGACAGGUGGUGCAUGGUUGUCGUCAGCUCGUGUCGUGAGAUGUUGGGUUAAGUCCCGCAACGAGCGCAACCCUUAAGCUUAGUUGCCAUCAUUAAGUUGGGCACUCUAAGUUGACUGCCGGUGACAAACCGGAGGAAGGUGGGGAUGACGUCAAAUCAUCAUGCCCCUUAUGAUUUGGGCUACACACGUGCUACAAUGGACAAUACAAAGGGCAGCGAAACCGCGAGGUCAAGCAAAUCCCAUAAAGUUGUUCUCAGUUCGGAUUGUAGUCUGCAACUCGACUACAUGAAGCUGGAAUCGCUAGUAAUCGUAGAUCAGCAUGCUACGGUGAAUACGUUCCCGGGUCU
Molecule: ribosomal RNA, 1372 nt
Filed under: uncultured bacterium
Lineage: Bacteria
Description: bacterial SSU rRNA
Rfam family: Bacterial small subunit ribosomal RNA
Source: RNAcentral